UUCCGGAUCAGCUUAGAGUAGAGGGCAACUUCCACUCGGGGCAGAGGAAGCUAGUCAAACUUUGGUCAUUUAGAGGAAGUAAAAGUCGUAACAAAGGUUUCCGUAGGUGAACCUGCGGAAGGAUCAUUA
This 129-nucleotide ribosomal RNA is filed under the name Hansenula anomala. RNAcentral describes it as "Wickerhamomyces anomalus partial 18S ribosomal RNA". It matches the Rfam family "Eukaryotic small subunit ribosomal RNA", at positions 1708 to 1831 of the family's 1831-position model. The record is from RNAcentral. Lineage: Eukaryota; Fungi; Ascomycota; Saccharomycetes; Phaffomycetales; Wickerhamomycetaceae.